This is a long non-coding RNA of Oreochromis niloticus (Nile tilapia), 5670 nucleotides long. RefSeq lists it as uncharacterized. The transcript is spliced from 3 exons. The record is from RefSeq and is a predicted model, not a curated record. NCBI's taxonomy places the organism in Eukaryota, Metazoa, Chordata, Actinopteri, Cichliformes, Cichlidae.
GACAGUAGCAGAGUGAGCCAGAGGCAGGGAGGAGGCAGCGAAGGAGCAGCUCUCCUCCUGAGCCUCCAUCCCAGAGAAGACAGAGAGGGAGAAGACAGAGAGAAGUCGACAGUCCCGCCUCACCGGUGCGUCUCCUGCAGCUCCUGAAGUUAAAACCGAGACAUCCGUUGUGAGGUGAAGAGAACACGAUGUACUAAGAGUGUUUGUUGUGACUGAACCUGAAAAGACUGAUCGCCCUGAACACACAGGGUCCUUCAGGAUUUCAUGCAGAGACCUGCGAAUGAGCACUGACGUCUACCUUCAUCUGAGUGUAGAUGAAAGACGCAGGGAAUCGCAUAUGGUUCCACACACGUACACCAACACAGACGCUCGUCAUAUUUCCCUUUGUUUUACUAAUGAAAAUCUUUUCCAUCGCUGUCAUCUGUUGCAAGACUGCAAUGAAAGAUGAAAGAAGAUAAAAGAAUAUUAACCAAAUAAACCUGUAAUAUACCUAUGAAACUAUUAACAACUUCAUGUUACGUGAGUGAUGCAUUUUAGUGUUUUUGCUGGUUGGCAUGAGAAAGUUUUUAAAGUGGAGUAAUUUGAUGAAACACCAUAUUUUAAAUGAUAAGGGAAUGACGUGAAAUGUAAUGAAGUAAAAAUAUAAAUUAGAACAAAAGAAAGACAGUCAGUUCACCUUCAAAUACAUUAAAUAAAUAAUAGAUUUUAGCUUGAAAUACCUGGAUAACACUCUUUUAGUCAAAGACUGUAUAAAAGAUUAAAAAGACAAAAAAAAAACUCAUAGGCAAAUGAGCCUACUUGUCACUAGCUCUAUGACCUCAGAAAAUGUUUUCCUGGUGGCCUAUCUAACCCUAACUUCAAGACUUAUUUAAUUCAGCAUGACGUUCACUUUGUAAAUUCUGGUUCAAAGUAAAACAGACAUCAAGUAAAGCAAGGUAAGUUUUUAAGUUCAACUUUUGGUUUCAAAGAGCCAAGAUAGUAAGAAUGUAUAUUUUAUUGAUCCCCCUUGGGCGAAAUUCAUCUCUGCAUUUAACCCAUUCACUCAGUGAAGCAGUGAGCAGCCACCAAUCUAGCGCCCGGGGAGCAGUGUGUAGGGAUGGUACCUUGCUCAGGGGCACCUCAGGGUAGCCGUUCAGUGGAUUCGAACCCCUGACCUUCCGAUCAUGGGGCCACCGCUCAACCUACUGAAAUAUCCCGGCCCUGACGAACAAAAUGCUCGCCUCAAGAUUUCCAAAUGGGAUAUCAUAAAUAAACGGGCAGUGUCACAGUAGUCACAUCCAUCUUUUAUAUACAGUCUAUAGAAUCUUCACUUUGAUUCCUUUGGUUGCAAAACAUCUAACCAGCAUAUAGAAGCCUGCAUAUGAAUCCUUGCAGUGAAUUGAAUUUUUUACUUAAUUUGAACAGCACCAUUACUGGCCAUUAAAAAAAUGUCAAAUCACAUACAUUGUAGUCUCGAUUAUCGAAUGCAGUCUUUGUGGUUUCCAUAGAAAGCCAAAGUCUUUCUACGGAUUAUUAAGAAAAAAUGUAAUCAGUUUUCUCGCUCCUCGCGGAUCAUCCACGAGGUCCUUCCUCAGUCAGCCCUCCUCCACCACCCUACCCUCAGUGCACCUACGUUGCAUUAUUAAACUUGAAUAAGAUCAUUAGCAUACAAAGCAGGAAACCUACCGCCGUGGAGUCAUACAUAUUUAUCUGCCUGACUUGUGCAUGCAUACACUCGUACUGUAACCCCUUUUGCAACCAAGGGUGAGUGGUUCUCUACUGCAAGAGGGCUGCGAACAGAAACUGUGAAGUGGAUAUUAAUAGGAGCAUGUCUAGUUUUAAAAAGCAGAUAUCUAUUUGUGAAACAUCUAAAGAAACACGGGCUUUCAUUUGAAAUACACAUUAAACCAUGUGCGGCUGCCUGGAGAAAAAUGUGUGUAUUUGGAAGCAGAGCAGAUGGAGUUUGGUUAGGUUCAUCAGAGCAGCUUCCAGCAUAUCAAAUAUAGUUUACACACAGAGGAAUUUCUGAAUCUAGUAAUGCCUGCAGUACAUAGUCAUCUGCUGCACACAGAAGCACAUAAUCAAACAGAAAGAAAGACAAACAGAGAGCAUGGCCUUCUGAAUACCUAUCAACUGUGGAUUACCUCUGCCUUCUAAAUGACUCCUUGUUGCUUUCCUUGUAUCAUCCCUUUGCAAAAUUAACUUUCUCCUCGCCCACCCUCCCUGUGUUUUACCCACUUGUGAAUCACUUUUCCUCCUUUUCCUCAUCCUUCCAGCUGAGAGAACAACCUAUCUCCUUUUUUGGCUACGUGAAGUUCCUUUUUAAUACGCUUCCCUCCUUCCUUCCUUCUCUCUCCUUCCUCCUGUGAGAUUGCUGUUGUGUCUUAUGGCUUUUUAUUCCUACGUGAUGGUAGAUGGGUUCAUGUAGGAGUAGAAGCCACUAAACACGCGGCGAGUGCUCAACACGCUGGCCAACACAUGCAGCGAGCUUCCUGUGGAUAUGACAGCUGCCAUGUUCACAUCAAUGUCCUGCCUAUUAUCAAGAAUGUACACACACAUUAUAAAUAGAACAAGGGUGAUCCCUGCCGAGAGUGUUUACCACUCUGGAUAAAAGUUUUAGUGGGGGAAAAAUCGAAAAUUAAACAGCUAAUUGCAAACAAUUAAGCAGAAUGCUCGGCAAGUAAGGGCUGACGAGUCAAUCUUUGGUUGUGAACAGACCUACUUUUCCCACCUGCACGCUGGCAUGUGCCCUGAAUUUCAAACUCAUUCCUGCAUUCCUCUGCCCCGGGGUCAUUGUGCCGAGUUCUCGAAAUAGAGAUGAGGAUGGAAAAAUAAGUGAAACAAUGUGCAGAGGUAGGUCAUCAAUAUUCUUUGGUAACGUACGCGACGUAGUCUGUUUUCUCCUUUGAAUGCAAAUAAAUGCUGUACGUGAAAACCUGUUACAGGCUGCUGUAUUUAAAUAUGUUUUACAUCAGGUCUAACAUGAUUUGCAUUUUACCUAAUGGUAUAAAGUGCCAUGAGAGGAAGGUGUGAGUUAGCGCUAUAUACACGUAAAUUAAUUUAACUACUAAUUGAAAAAGGCUUCAGUUUAAAAUAGUUUAUUGUCAUCCAAGUAAGAUGUGAGGCUGUGAAGUUGUACUUUGGCAAAGAACUUUUAAAGUUGUUAUAGUGAUUUUUAUUGAUGUAAGUGAAAUAACUUUUAAAUCCACAAAAAAUACCCAAAACCAAACCUAACAAAGCAAAGGAAACAAGAAAAAACAUUAUUUUUUAAGUUAAAUGAUAUUAUUACUGUGCUAAUAAAAACUGCAUAAGUCUGUGUGGGCUGUAACCCCCUCAUCAGUCAUGAAGGUGCCUAAUAUAUAAUUAAAAUGGAUAGGAAUAUUACAUUUAUUAUAUUUACUAUAAUCCCAACUUUUAAAGUUUUAUAUUAUUUAAUCCUCUAGGUUAAACUUGAGUUAAAUGAAAAUACUUUUGAUUAAUUCUACAUAAUCCUUCCACAAUCAAACACAUUUUUCUACAUUUGUUUUCUUCUUAGAUUAAUAAAGAACUUUUGACUAUAGAUUCGUAGGUUACUUUAAAACUCAAGUAAAACACCUUUUUAAAAUAAUGUAAUCUAAUGAAGCAAGGCCAUAAGGUUUGAAAAUAACUUAUUAUUUUUCCUCUUUGGACCGAUGUUUUAAAUCCUUUUAUAUGUCCUUAGAAGGAUUUUCCGCUUGUGUAACAGUUAGUUGUGACUAAGGGUUUGGGUUAUCUGCAGAAGGUUGUGACAGACUUAGACUUUAGAAAGGUAAACAUUUAUAGCAGUUGUCUCUUUUAAAAUUAUUGGCAAUUAUGGGUAAAACAAUUGCUCUUUUUUGUAUGUUUCUUUUAUUUUUAAUAAAUCCAUUUCCCUUUGAUCAAAAAAAACAUUUUCUUAGUUGGUUCAUCUUUAUUUUAGCUCGUCCUGACAUUUGGUAAUUAACAGGUAAAUGGUACUGAGAUGAGAAUGUCAUUCGUUUUGAAGCUCAUGAGCCAAAGUAUUUUAAAAAAAGUUUGAUCUUGACUAAGUAAUAGAGCUAAAUGAGAAAUCAGAGGAUCACCAAAGUAAUUACAGCUUAGCUCGAGGGGGUCUCAAACGUCUACACCAAAAUUCCCCGUCAUCCAUCAUGUAGAAGUUAAAGCAUAUUUCUUAAAACCAUAAAAGUUAAGUAACUUACGGCACCGGAGGAGAAGUAAUAAGACUCCCAAUGUUAGGAUUCUCAAUCUGAGAACCAUAAACCAUGAAUGAAACUCAAGCCUGGACUCAAUGACAUCACCAUCUGUAGUUUGACAUAGGUAGCAUGGUUGAAAACUUGAUAAGGAGUUUUUACCACGAACAAACACAUUCUGAUACAUUGUAUCAGAGCCCACCUCUCUUUGUGAGGGUGUAUUUUUUUAAAACGAACCCCUUUAAACUCUUAAGCACCAGCAUGAAAACAGUGACUCAGCUCAGUGUGAACCCCUUGUCUGCUCACAAAUUAGGUCCAAAUUUUCACCAGCUCAAAAUGGCUAAUAAUGGCAUUUAUCAGCGGUAACUUUCUGCCUGAGCUGAACUCAGUGUCAACCAAUUAAGCAAGAAAUUCAAAUUAUCCUGCUGCUGGGUCCAGCAGGGUGCUGUGGGGGCUUGGGUUUAAAUGUCAACCUUCUGUUUGUAUUUGCUGUGCAAUGAGCUGUUCUCGUUCAGUCUCCCCCUGGACAGAAUCCGAAUAAAACCCAAAUGGGUUGUUGCUGAGAACCCAAAAAAAUAAUGAAUUAUUAAUCCCACGAUAUUACAAGAUUUUGGCAGACGCUUGCAACUGUGUGACAUUACUCCAGCACCAAUAAAGGGGCAGAUAAUUAUUCAAGAUGAAAUUGUAAUAGAGGAGGUCUGCAGAGGUUUAAUGAUUUAUUUAAGACUGUACGUUGUUGUGAUCUAAUAUUCAGUGGGUGGGUUGGGAAGUUUCUUUUGCUUGCAUUAUCAGUUUAAUUUAUUUUUCAGGUUCCCACUCCUACAUUGGCUUUUUCUCUUACUUUACAGAGACAUGAGGAGGCUUGAGAGAAUAGUAGAGCAGGGGAGACUGAGGGGAGACUGAGAGAGGAUUUGAUCCUAGACCAGCGGGGGGCCAUGGGAAUGUAAAGGUGGGAAUCAACCAUCCUGGCAUCUAUGGGAAAGAGUCUGCAUUAUUUAAAACACCACUGGCACAUGCAGGGGAAGUUGUGUUUGAAUAGAUUGCUGCCAUUCUUUGUUUCGCCUAAGGGUGUGUAUGUCUUUUCCUGCAAUGCUCAGUUAUGACUGCACUGCCGUGCAGACCCCAGCUUUCCAAAAAUGUCAAAAUGAUCAGAGAAAUGAGACGGCACAGCCUCAUUUUCAUUGUGACAGCCGUGCAUUUUACUUUAAAUUAUGCAAACGCUUUCAUAUGUCCUAUACAAGGUCACAUAAUCCCCAGGUUCAGGUAAAAACAUGAAAAUCAUCCACAACAGCAUAAUGGGGUUUUCAUCUGACAGCUGCAAUAAUAUAGUGCGUUUGUGUACAGUAGGUGUUAUGUACGAGUGUUGUUCUACUUUAUCAACACCCCCCUCAGGCUACACUUUGAUUUUCCUGUAAUAAAUAAUGCUCUUUUGUGUUCUGUGCUUCAUUUGUUCCCUGUUGUAACCUCAGUGCUGCUCAAUAAAUUAUGAAUCACGCCAGUUCAA